ACGCUGGCGGUAGGCCUAACACAUGCAAGUCGAACGGCAGCACAGUAAGAGCUUGCUCUUACGGGUGGCGAGUGGCGGACGGGUGAGGAAUACAUCGGAAUCUACUUUUUCGUGGGGGAUAACGUAGGGAAACUUACGCUAAUACCGCAUACGACCUACGGGUGAAAGCAGGGGAUCUUCGGACCUUGCGCGAUUGAAUGAGCCGAUGUCGGAUUAGCUAGUUGGCGGGGUAAAGGCCCACCAAGGCGACGAUCCGUAGCUGGUCUGAGAGGAUGAUCAGCCACACUGGAACUGAGACACGGUCCAGACUCCUACGGGAGGCAGCAGUGGGGAAUAUUGGACAAUGGGCGCAAGCCUGAUCCAGCCAUACCGCGUGGGUGAAGAAGGCCUUCGGGUUGUAAAGCCCUUUUGCUGGGAAAGAAAAGCAGCAGGUUAAUACCCCGCUGUUCUGACGGUACCCAAAGAAUAAGCACCGGCUAACUUCGUG
Molecule: ribosomal RNA, 487 nt
Filed under: uncultured bacterium
Lineage: Bacteria
Description: partial 16S ribosomal RNA
Rfam family: Bacterial small subunit ribosomal RNA
Source: RNAcentral